GCGGACGUAGCUCAGUUGGUUAGAGCACCAGAUUGUGGUUCUGGGGGUCGCCGGUUCGAAACCGGUCGUCCGCCCCA
RNAcentral lists this transfer RNA (77 nucleotides) under Rickettsiales bacterium. Its description in RNAcentral is "tRNA-His". It matches the Rfam family "tRNA". From Rfam's summary of the family: Transfer RNA (tRNA) molecules are approximately 80 nucleotides in length. Lineage: Bacteria; Pseudomonadati; Pseudomonadota; Alphaproteobacteria; Rickettsiales. The record is from RNAcentral.